This 400-nucleotide ribosomal RNA is filed under the name phytoplankton environmental sample. RNAcentral's name for it is "partial small subunit ribosomal RNA". It matches the Rfam family "Eukaryotic small subunit ribosomal RNA", at positions 587 to 991 of the family's 1831-position model. The record is from RNAcentral.
AGCUCCAAUAGCGUAUAUUAAAGUUGUUGCGGUUGAAAAGCUCGUAGUUGGUUUUCUGUCGAGAGCAACUGGUCUGCCCACUGGGUGAGUAUCUGACUUGAUCUUGGCAUCUCUCUGGGGAUUGCUGCUGCACUUGACUGUGUGGUGUUUGAUCCAGAGCUAUUACUUUGAGGAAAUUGGGGUGUUUCAAGCAAGCAUUGGCUGUUGAACACAUUAGCAUGGAAUAGUGAGUGUGACACCUGCUCUAUCUUGCCGGUUUCUUGGGCUGGUGUAAGGGUCAAGAGGGAUGGUUGGGGGUAUCCGAACUUGGUUGUCAGAGGUGAAAUUCUUGGAUUUGCCAAAGACGCACGACUGCGAAAGCAUUUAUCCAAAAUGUCUUCAUUGAUCAAGAACGAAAGUA